RNAcentral lists this ribosomal RNA (1182 nucleotides) under Triticum aestivum (bread wheat). RNAcentral's name for it is "partial small subunit ribosomal RNA". Lineage: Eukaryota; Viridiplantae; Streptophyta; Magnoliopsida; Poales; Poaceae. The record is from RNAcentral.
AUGAUGAACCGUCGGCAGUUUCUGAAUCUGGUUGUUUGGAGCUGGAGCGACCGCCUUUACUCGCUGCGCCGCAUCGACCCCUCCAAGAAUCUCUUCUACGAGUCAACACAGCAAGCUCAGAAAGCCGCCUCUGCAGAGAAAAGAAAGAAAUUUGACAAGACAUUUCGGAGCCUGCCUGACCCCAUCGCCAGCUUCGAUCCGUCCCCCACCGGCGUCGUCAACAGCGGCCUCGAGUGGUUCGAGCUGUUCGCCCCCCGCAGCAGCGAGAGCAGGAUCGUGAACUCCAAUAAGGCCGGCGAGAUAACCAUGUUCGACGCCGACAAGCGCCUCAUCCUCGCCUUGCCAAAUCUAUACCAGCCUAAGGGGCACGACGCGGUUGUUAUCUCGGUCACCCACCCUAGCGCCGACGAGGACUCCCUCUACAUCAUGGACAGGCACCCUGGCCGUGCCGUCACUCGACCUCGUUUACCUGCUGGUUCCGACCACCCUCGUUCCUGCUUCGAAGUCCUCGAGUACAAGCGCAGUAAUUUGACAGACAGCCAUAAGGGCUGGCAUUGGCGCCUUCUUCCACCGCCUCCGUUUGUCCACCUACCUGGGUUCCAGCCCUCCUCCCUUGUUACCUCCUACACCACCAUGGACACUGUAGACGGCUUCUCUUCCAUUUGCAUAUCAUCUGACAAGGGUUUCGGCACCUAUUGCUUUGAUACAGCAUGCCUUGACCCCAGCCAUUCUUUAGGAUGGCGAAACUUGGACGAAUGGAGGCACGUUGGGGACUGGGCUCUGCCGUUUGAAGGCAGAGCAGAGUUUGUCCGCGAGUUCGACAUAUGGUUGGGCUUCAAGGCCGCGACUCUACCCUGCAGGCUCAACCACCUGUGUGCUGUGGACCUCUCUGCCAUGGACCAUGGCCGAGAACCCAUUGUGCAGCACGUCUGGGAACAUCUUGCCCUGCCCGAGGAAAAGCAACCGGCGCGGCUGUGUCCUAUGCAUCAGAGGCUGGUGAACCUCGGGAGUGGCAGGUUUUGCAUCGCCAAGGUUUUUAAUGACCUUGAAGAUGGCACUUAUUUUGCUGUGCUCACUGGUGUAGAGUUGCUCCGAAACGAACAAGACCAGAGUCUCCAGAUUCUCAAGCACAAGUGUGUGCGUUACAUUUCCAAUACUGAAAGGAUAAGAUGGGUGCUUUGA